UCCUCCAUGAAGAAAAUAUCCACAGCUAUCAAGCUAAGAAAAGACAGAGCUUAGCGAACUAACCGCUAGCUACAACAUAUGAAGUACAGAAAUGUCGUGAUAAAGAAGCCUAAUUUAGUGAGCUAAAUUAUUUGGAAUAUUUGAUAGACAUGGUAUAAACCUUCAAAUGAUAUUUUAACAUUCUGAUAUGUUUGCCUUUACAAUUUGUGAAGAAAAACGUGCAAGAUGUUAGUUAAUACAUCAUAGAUGUUCAAAUUGUGCUUUGCUUCUGCAUGCCUGUAGUAUCAAAUAUGUCUGAACUUAUUUCCUGAUUCACUCUGCAGUUCAUUUUGUUGUAUUAUUAAAUUAAUAACUAUAUAUCAUUAUCAGUGCUCAUUUCUUACUGGUGGUGAGAUAUUGGAAGCAAUAGUUCACACCUCAGGACUGGACACUACAGAUGCAGGGCUGUGUUUACUUCCUGUUGUAGUUUUUAUUAUAAUGAUGUAGAAAAACUUCACUGAAACAUUUUUGUUUAGAGCUGCUUUUAGUCUGUUAAGUUCUUUAGUGAAAACUUUAGUCUGUCGUCUAACCUUUAACCUCUAUCUGCCUUAAAUUACAUUCAUCCAUUGAUUGAUUUUCUUUCUUUUUCUGUUGUGGUUUUCUGUAAGGACAGCCUGGAACUGUCUUGUAUAAAUAUUAUACCUGACAAUGACUGGUGGUUUUUCUUCCUAUCUUAUCCACCUGCCUCCCUUCCUCUUUGUCACUGACUCUUCCUUAUUUUGUUUUGUAAAACAAGAUGUUUUUCAAACAUUACUUCCAACAGCAUCAUCUUUGUUUGUGUUUUCUUAAUAUUACUUUAAUUUGUUGACUGAUCCAACACAAGUUACAACAAGUCUGAGCAAAAUUGCAACUAAAGACCCAGCAACAAUUAAUUUGUCGUUCUCAUUUAGACGUUUAAUACAUUAAGUUCAACUACAGUUCAAGUAGUACAGUUGCUGUUUCUAAACUGCCAUCAAAAUAAAAGACAGUAAUUGUUGGUCCUUCAACUGUAUUAAUUGAACACCGUAUGUUAACAACAAUCAGUAAGAAGGUGACCUCUUCUACAGUUAAUCUGUGAUCAGAAUAAAUGUUCCUCAGUGAAGAAAAUGAGAUUUUCUCAUCUAGCUGUGGAUCCACAGAAGGUCAACUCAUGUUUUAAUGCAGUGCAGACAACAACCAUGGAGUCCAAAACACUGACAUAGGUAGGAAGAAGCUGGUCAACAGUCAGAGCUUCAGCACCCUGGACAGCUCUAUGACUUCAAAAUAACUGAUGAGCAGCUGGAAACUCUGCCUCAUUUAUUGGAGUCUUUGUUAAAUCCAGGAAUGGUUUGACUUUACCUGAGUCCAAGAAGGUCUCACUGUGAGGAUCCAAAGCUCUGAAAGCUUCCAUGUAUUUGUGACUCUCUCUGUUCUCUAACUAACCUGGAUCAUUCUGACGUUUUCCAUUAGAUGCCAAAUAAGGAACCAACUCUUAAAGUAAAUAUAAUGUAUAAUUAGCUGCAUGAACAACUGAUCAGAGUUUUGAUGCCAUCAGGAUCAAUAUUCAUAAAGAGAAAUUAACAUCUCAAACACGAUACGUCACAUAUAGUCAGUCUCCACAUGUCUAUGGAACAUAAAACAUCUCUUAACAUUUGCAUUCAACCAAGCAGCUAAAAAUAAUGAGCAGAAUCAGAGCUGCUGAGCAGCUUUCUGAGAAGGCAAAGAGGAAACAAACAUGGCCGACCACAAACAAGAGCAGCUGAGCGUUUUUACACUAUGAUUUAUUCACGUUUUAUGUCUGACAAUAUUAUUUAACUCACAGUGUUGAACUUGACAGUGUUUUCAUUCAUGUUAUUUAUUUCAUAAGCAGACUGCCACUAAAAAGACAUCCUUUAGUCCCGAUCCAUACAGAGUUGUUCCUUUUUCACAGCUUUUGUUCACUUAUUGUUAAAUUCUGACAUCUGAUCAGAAGAAAUGAGAUUUCUUAUGAAUUGCUGGAAGGUUUAAACCGUGACGACAAGAAAGCCAAAGAUGCAACAGCAGCUACAUUAUGCAAGAUCAGAUGAAGCUGAGCAAAGAAAGUGAAGGUUGUUUUUUAACAUAUAUUAUAUUUACAUAAGUUCUGAAAUAGGUUGUCUCAAUAAAAACUGCUCCUCUUGGUGGAUGUUUCUGCAUUUCUUAGAGACGUUGUCUUUCUUUUAGAGGAUAGAGGACCUGUGGAGGAGGAGGAAAGGAGGAAGAGGAUGCAGGUGGUGGAGAGGUUUCAGACGGCUCCUUCUGAGGAAAUAGCAGCUCUCUGUGGAUCCAGGACCUCAUUGCUUCAGUCCAAACUAGAUCAGGUCUUUGAUCCGAUUGUUCGUCCUCCUCCGUCUCCAUCUGGACAAUCGUCUCGUCGUUGGACGCCGAUCUAUGAGAUGAACUUUCCUGACCUCUGUGUGUAUUAGAGACUCAACAGGAUGACCUGGAUCAUUAUGAAGCAUCUGAUGUUGUGUUCAAGGAACAGAGGACAAAACAACUGAGGACUGGAAACAUGUAGCAUGAGUCAUGUUUUGUGUUCAUAGAAGAAGUUUUUCUCAGUGGCUGUUUUGUUCCUCUGAGAAAGAUUUAGUUUUGUGUUGAUCUCAGUAUUUCCCAGUUUUAUGUUUCAUUUUGUUGUGAUUCUUGAAGUGUGAUUGUCAAAAAGAAAACUUUAUUUUUUAAUCAUGUUGAACUAAUUCAACUUUAACUGUCCUUUUAUUUGGUUUUGUCUCUAAACUUUAAACCAACUCUUUAUUUUCCUCUCCAGGCUGCAGAGUCUGCUGAUAUAAACAUGCAUCAUGCAUUCAUGUUUUUCCUGAUAAACUGUGUAAAAUAAUGUGCACUACAUGUGGCAUCCCUGCUACUUCACACUUUGAGCUUGUUAAAUGUUUGAAGCUAAAUAUUUCUAGGAUAAAAGACAUCAUCUGGCAGAUUAGCUCAGAUUGCUUCAAAACUAUUCCAUGAUGAAGAGCAUUAGUGAAAACGAAGACUGGUCAUAGUUGGAAAGUGUUUUAGCUGUGAUCAAAUAGCUCCGUCUGUUAGAGGAUCUCCUGUAGUCUGUAGGGUCGGUUCUCUGAAGGUUCCUGAGGACCAACAAGCUGACAAGGAAAUGGAUCCAUAAAAAGUUUGAGACACAAGAGUGUCGACCUGUUGGAUGGUCUCUACAACAUGAGACCAGUUUGAAGCUGAAAUGGUUCUGACUGAAGACCCAAAUAGUGUCAGACAUUAAAGACGCAUAAAGGAUUUUUAUUACACUGUAUGAAGGCUGCAGACACCAACAAACAAAAUGUUCUGGACUGAGACAAUUUGACUGCUGGGAAUUUAUCUCACUUGGUGAGCUUGACUUUGAUUCCAAUAACUUUAAACCUGUAACUGUGUCAAACUGACCAGAUGUUCUCAAUCAAAGGUUUUCUCUCUGAAUGGAGAUAAAGAAAUGUUGGCUUUUGUUCUUCAUCUGGUCAUCUGAGAGGAACAUUGCUGAUAAACUGUUGGAGAUGAUGAUCUCAGAGUGGAAAGUUUGAACCAUGUUUCAUGUAUCAUGUGUGACCUGGUAGAUCAAGGUGUUGGUUAGUAUGAACUGCAUGGGCUUCAUCUAAAACCAACUGUGUCAGGGUUUAAACGCAGCAAACUGGAGGAAGGACAGACAGGGUAUGAAACACAGAAAACAUCUGAUUCAUGGAGACACUGAUCAAGAAUGAUCAUAUCUGUGCAGCGUCCCAACUCAGUUACCUUCUGCUACAACUAAUCUGUCCACUAGAGGGAGCACAGAUACUUCCACAGGUUCUGCUUCAAACUUAAAGAUGAAAUAACUGCAUUCAGUGUUAUUUGACUACUUUGUUAAAUCUUUGAAUAAAGAAAUGUCUGUUUUUA
Long non-coding RNA from Girardinichthys multiradiatus, 3885 nucleotides. RefSeq lists it as uncharacterized. The record is from RefSeq and is a predicted model, not a curated record. The transcript is spliced from 2 exons. Lineage: Eukaryota; Metazoa; Chordata; Actinopteri; Cyprinodontiformes; Goodeidae.